Molecule: transfer RNA, 71 nt
Filed under: Orophyllus montanus
Lineage: Eukaryota; Metazoa; Arthropoda; Insecta; Orthoptera; Tettigoniidae
Description: tRNA-Val
Source: RNAcentral
CGAAAUAGAGCUUUAAAGUGAAGUGUCUCAGUUACAUUGAGGGUAGUUCUGUGCAAUUCAGAAUAUUUUGA